Molecule: ribosomal RNA, 829 nt
Filed under: uncultured bacterium
Lineage: Bacteria
Description: bacterial SSU rRNA
Rfam family: Bacterial small subunit ribosomal RNA
Source: RNAcentral
GGCGCACGGGUGCGUAACGCGUAUGCAACCUACCUUUUACUGGGAGAUAGCCCGGAGAAAUCUGGAUUAAUACCCCAUAGUACCAGAUUGUCGAAUGACGAUUUGGUUAAAGAUUUAUCGGUAAGAGAUGGGCAUGCGUCUGAUUAGCUAGUUGGCGGGGUAACGGCCCACCAAGGCGACGAUCAGUAGGGGUUCUGAGAGGAAGGUCCCCCACACUGGCACUGAGAUACGGGCCAGACUCCUACGGGAGGCAGCAGUAGGGAAUAUUGGGCAAUGGUCGCAAGACUGACCCAGCCAUGCCGCGUGCAGGAAGACGGCCCUUGGGUUGUAAACUGCUUUUAUCUGGGAAGAAAAAGUCCAUGCGUGGAAAAUUGCCGGUACCAGAUGAAUAAGCACCGGCUAACUCCGUGCCAGCAGCCGCGGUAAUACGGAGGGUGCAAGCGUUGUCCGGAUUUAUUGGGUUUAAAGGGUGCGUAGGCGGCUGAAUAAGUCAGCGGUGAAAGACUUCGGCUUAACCGGAGCAGUGCCGUUGAUACUGUUUAGCUUGAGUGUUGGAGGGGUACAUGGAAUUGAUGGUGUAGCGGUGAAAUGCAUAGAUACCAUCAGGAACACCGAUAGCGAAGGCAUUGUACUGGCCAACAACUGACGCUGAGGCACGAAAGUGUGGGGAUCGAACAGGAUUAGAUACCCUGGUAGUCCACACCGUAAACGAUGAUUACUCGCUGUUAUGGUGUAUGCUGUAGCGGCCAAGCGAAAGCGUUAAGUAAUCCACCUGGGGAGUACGCCGGCAACGGUGAAACUCAAAGGAAUUGACGGGGGUCCGCACAAG